This is a long non-coding RNA of Leptopilina boulardi, 797 nucleotides long. RefSeq lists it as uncharacterized. Lineage: Eukaryota; Metazoa; Arthropoda; Insecta; Hymenoptera; Figitidae. The record is from RefSeq and is a predicted model, not a curated record. The transcript is spliced from 2 exons.
AGUAACAAGAGUUGAAAGUUUAGAUUUAGAAACGAUUAUAUAUACGAGCGCUCUUGGCUAUAUGUAUAUAUAUAUAUAUAUAUAGUAUAUACAAGUUGCUUCGCUCUCACUCGACGAUGAUCAUUUUCCUUUAAUGACUCGCAAAGAUGUGUACUACGCCUCAUUUAAAGACCCCCUUGUGAUCGAGAAAGGAGAGAAUUUCGAAUAAAGAUAUAUAGACAAUCUGCAAUGAGGUUUCCCUAUAGGUGCGACGCACGACCUGCUUCUCACGAAGUAUUGUGCACACCAUCAGGUCGCACCUCAUAAUCUCAAUGACCGUGACUACUAGGCCAAUGACCGCGCGCUCGACAAAAAAGCAAUUUGGACCAAUUCGAAUUUUCACGAGAUUACUCAACAAGCCCCAAUUAAAAUCAACGUCAUAUGAUAUUGCGAGCAUGUAAACUUAGCCCUUUCAUUACAACAUCAAUUACGUAUUGAAAUCAAAGGCCAACUAUUCUUACAUAGGGUAACCAGAAGAUGACAUUAAUUCAAACACCCACUAGGCUAUGCAAUCGCCGCCAUACGACUUUUAUACAUUCGUGGAUAGCUCGAAUAAUGCAAAAAAUUACAUAAAUAACAUCGCCUACACUUGCAAACUAAUAUGCUGAAAAGUCGCUUUUCUUCUAUUGAGGAAAAUAUUACAUACAUAUAUCUAUUUUCAAAGUGAGAAAAUAAAUUCUUCAAAUAAUAUUUUUGACUGAAUGCAAUAUAUUUUAAUUUUAUAUUUCGUUAAUUUAAUUAAAUAUUGUUAAUUUUAA